GAUGAAGAACGCAGUGAAAUGCGAUACUUGGUGUGAAUUGCAGAAUCCCGUGAACCAUCGAGUCUUUGAACGCAAGUUGCGCCUGAAGCCAUUAGGCCGAGGGCACGCCUGCCUGGGCGUCACACGUCGUUGCCCCCCCAUCUACUCCUUCGGGAUUGCGGGGGGCGGAUGAUGGCCUCCCGUGCGCCUCGUCGCGCGGUUGGCAUAAAUGCCAAGUCCUCGGCGACGCACGCCACGACAAUCGGUGGUUGCGAAACCUCGGUUGCCCGUCGUGUGCGGUCGUCGCGCAUCGAGGGCUCGAAAAAAUUGCCGGGCUCCGGCUCGGCUUUCAACGCGACCCCAGGUCAGGCGGGGUUACCCGCUGAAUUUAAGCAUAUCAAUAAGCGGAGGA
RNAcentral lists this unclassified non-coding RNA (391 nucleotides) under soil metagenome. RNAcentral describes it as "partial contains 5.8S ribosomal RNA, internal transcribed spacer 2, and large subunit ribosomal RNA". The stretch from base 1 to 122 matches the Rfam family "5.8S ribosomal RNA", at positions 35 to 154 of the family's 154-position model. The record is from RNAcentral.